Molecule: small nucleolar RNA, 129 nt
Organism: Nannospalax galili (Upper Galilee mountains blind mole rat)
Lineage: Eukaryota; Metazoa; Chordata; Mammalia; Rodentia; Spalacidae
Source: Ensembl
CCAGCACUUUCACAGGUCCUCCCUUAGUCAGUGGAGCCAGGAUUUGGUAGCUGGAACUAACAGAAAACCCUUGAUUAUAACUUUGCCCUGAUACUGUACCAGUGGCAGCUGUCUCUCAGGGGAACAGAU